ACUUCAGCUGCAUUUCCUCUGAGACCCAUUUGCAUCGUUUACAUACGAAAAAAUAGACACCAUGUUUCCUCAAAUAAUCACUGCUACUUUUUUUUUGCAUGGCAAAAAAUGUGUGUGAUGCAAUUCUGUUGUUCUUAAAGUGUCGAAAAAAUAAUCAUCCUCUUCUCAAAUUUUAACUUUCUCAUCGUUUGCCUACUUUAAUGUUAAAUAUUAUCCAAAAAAUAUUAACAUCAAAGUAACUCAAGUCAACAUAAAAUGCAGUUUUUAAAUAAUGAUUUUAUUUAUUACAGAAAGCAAAUACAGUAUUCAAAACUACCUGGCCUUGUGUGCAAAAGUACUUGCCCCUGUAGAUAAAUUAUGUAUUAACUGCAAUAAAUCGCUUUAUUGGGGGAGAACCCAAUUUCAUUUUCUAUGACCCCACCCAAGCCUGACUGCCUCCAGACUUGUUCAAUCAGGAGAUUGCAUGAAUAAAUCUUGUCUGACAAAAUGUCAGCCAAAUGUUCUCAAAAAGCUGCAACAAAAUGCCACAAACUAAAGAAAUCCAAGAGCAAAUGAGAAAUAAAGUAAGCGAUAUAUCAGUCUGAAAAUGGUUGCAAAGCCAUUUCGAAAACUUAGGGACUCCAGCGAACAAUGCUGAGAGGAAUUAUCCACAAAUGGACAAAGCAUGGCACAGUGGUGAACCUUCCCCAGGAUUAGACGGUCUCCCCCACCUCAGUUAAUGUCAGUGUUCAGCACUCAACAGGAAGUAACAGACCGGGCAAAAUUGAAAACCAUGGCAAGACUUCUCAAGCAAAAACCAGUGCUGACCAAAAAGAGGAAGAAGAAGAAGUCUUAGUUUUCCAAAAAAAGACCCAUCUGAAUGAUUAUUCUAUGGACUGAUGAGACAAAAACUGCAGUUUUUGGAAGAUGUGUGUGUCAUUACAUCUGAGCGUAAAUGGAGCUCAGCAUUGCAGAAGAAGAACAUCAGGCCAGUAGUCAAAUAUGCACGUAGUAUGAUGGUCUGGGGCUGCUUUGCAUCUUUAGGACCUGGACCACUUGCUCUGACUAAGCGAAUCAUGAAUUCUGCUCUCUUACCCCCCGCACCGCCCCCCUCAAAAAAAGUCCUGAGGAACAAUGUUUGACCAUCAGUUUGUGACCUCAAACUUUAGCGCACUUCAGUUCUGCAUCUUGACAAUGAUCCAAAGCACACUAGCAAAUCAACUUCUAAUCUGGAUGUGAAUUCAUUUGAAAUGCUCUGGCAUCACACUUCAAGACCCUCCAAUCUUGUUGAAUUCACACAAUUCUGCAAGCAAGACUGGCCCAAAAUAUCGCCGCCGAGAAGAGACUCAUUGGCAGUUACGGGAAAGGCUUGAUUUAAUUUGUUCUUUUUGAGGGUCGCCCAACCACAUACUAAUUGUAGGGGAACAAGUACUAUUUUGUAUACGGUCAGCUCUCUUGGAAUAUUUUUUUUCGUACUAAACAAAAUCACCACCGAAAAAAAAACUUUAUUUUAGCCUCAUUACUUGGUUGAUCACAGCUGUUGUUAAAGUGCUA
This is a long non-coding RNA of Hippocampus comes (tiger tail seahorse), 1533 nucleotides long. RefSeq lists it as uncharacterized. The record is from RefSeq and is a predicted model, not a curated record. The transcript has 2 exons. NCBI's taxonomy places the organism in Eukaryota, Metazoa, Chordata, Actinopteri, Syngnathiformes, Syngnathidae.